AGUUUAGUGAUUAAGUAUACUAAAUGAAUUCUGCCCAGUGUAAUUUUAUAAAUGGCCGCAGUACCCUGACUGUGCUAAGGUAGCAUAAUCAAUUGGCUUUUAAUUGAAGUCUGGAAUGAAAGAAAUAAUGAAAAAAUGCUGUCUUAAGAAUACUGAUUUUAACUUAUUUAUAAGGUGAAAAUACCUUUUUUUAAAAAAAAGACGAGAAGACCCUAAGAAUUUUUAAUUUUUUUAAUUUUAAUAAAAUUUUUUGUUGGGGCGACAAAUUAGAAUUUAAACCUAAUUUUUUAAACAGGCGAAUUUUUUAAGUAAUAAAAAAUUACCUUAGGGAUAACAGCAUAAUGUUUUUUAAGUUUGUGACCUCGAUGUUGGACUAGGAACUUUAUGGCUAGCAGUCAGAAAAGAUUUAUUCUGUUCGAAUAAUUUUAUCCU
This 432-nucleotide ribosomal RNA is filed under the name Bulinus globosus. RNAcentral's name for it is "partial large subunit ribosomal RNA". It matches the Rfam family "Bacterial large subunit ribosomal RNA", at positions 1829 to 2596 of the family's 2925-position model. Lineage: Eukaryota; Metazoa; Mollusca; Gastropoda; Planorbidae. The record is from RNAcentral.